Molecule: long non-coding RNA, 222 nt
Filed under: Brassica rapa (field mustard)
Lineage: Eukaryota; Viridiplantae; Streptophyta; Magnoliopsida; Brassicales; Brassicaceae
Description: long non-coding RNA (BRAP_LNC007701)
Source: RNAcentral
AAAAUUCGAGGAUAAUACUAACCAAUUGUCUGAACGCGACCACCAAAAACCUUACACCCCGUUCGUCGAUUGGCCCCGACGAACACGCCAGCCGUCUUAAACAAACGCAAUUCGAUCAUUCUUUUGAUCUUCAAAAACGUCCAACACAAGGACAAAAGCGCGCUACAACAAAAAUCCGAAAUUUUGGUUUAGCACUUCCAGUUGACUCUGAGAAGAUGCUCG